UGCCAGGGACAGCAGCCUCAAGUCUGGCCUAA
Molecule: non-coding RNA, 32 nt
Filed under: Homo sapiens (human)
Lineage: Eukaryota; Metazoa; Chordata; Mammalia; Primates; Hominidae
Source: RNAcentral